RNAcentral lists this ribosomal RNA (490 nucleotides) under uncultured bacterium. RNAcentral describes it as "partial 16S ribosomal RNA". It matches the Rfam family "Bacterial small subunit ribosomal RNA", at positions 30 to 507 of the family's 1533-position model. The record is from RNAcentral.
AUUGAACGCUGGCGGCAGGCCUAACACAUGCAAGUCGAACGGUAACAGGAAGAAGCUUGCUUCUUUGCUGACGAGUGGCGGACGGGUGAGGAAUGUCUGGGAAACUGCCUGAUGGAGGGGGAUAACUACUGGAAACGGUAGCUAAUACCGCAUAACGUCGCAAGACCAAAAAGGGGGACCUUCGGGCCUCUUGCCAUCGGAUGUGCCCAGAUGGGAUUAGCUAGUAGGUGGGGUAACGGCUCACCUAGGCGACGAUCCCUAGCUGGUCUGAGAGGAUGACCAGCCACACUGGAACUGAGACACGGUCCAGACUCCUACGGGAGGCAGCAGUGGGGAAUAUUGCACAAUGGGCGCAAGCCUGAUGCAGCCAUGCCGCGUGUAUGAAGAAGGCCUUCGGGUUGUAAAGUACUUUCAGCGGGGAGGAAGGGAGUAAAGUUAAUACCUUUGCUCAUUGACGUUACCCGCAGAAGAAGCACCGGCUAACUCCGUG